RNAcentral lists this ribosomal RNA (479 nucleotides) under uncultured organism. RNAcentral's name for it is "partial 16S ribosomal RNA". It matches the Rfam family "Bacterial small subunit ribosomal RNA", at positions 330 to 800 of the family's 1533-position model. The record is from RNAcentral.
CGUACACUCCUACGGGAGGCAGCAGUGGGGAAUAUCGCACAAUGGGCGCAAGCCUGAUGCAGCCAUGCCGCGUGUAUGAAGAAGGCCUUCGGGUUGUAAAGUACUUUCAGCGGGGAGGAAGGCGAUAAGGUUAAUAACCUUGUCGAUUGACGUUACCCGCAGAAGAAGCACCGGCUAACUCCGUGCCAGCAGCCGCGGUAAUACGGAGGGUGCAAGCGUUAAUCGGAAUUACUGGGCGUAAAGCGCACGCAGGCGGUCUGUCAAGUCGGAUGUGAAAUCCCCGGGCUCAACCUGGGAACUGCAUUCGAAACUGGCAGGCUAGAGUCUUGUAGAGGGGGGUAGAAUUCCAGGUGUAGCGGUGAAAUGCGUAGAGAUCUGGAGGAAUACCGGUGGCGAAGGCGGCCCCCUGGACAAAGACUGACGCUCAGGUGCGAAAGCGUGGGGAGCAAACAGGAUUAGAAACCCCUGUAGUCCCAUGA